RNAcentral lists this unclassified non-coding RNA (219 nucleotides) under Hevea brasiliensis (rubber tree). Lineage: Eukaryota; Viridiplantae; Streptophyta; Magnoliopsida; Malpighiales; Euphorbiaceae. The record is from RNAcentral.
UCUAUUUUCUGCUCCCAGUACAUUUCCAGCAUUCAGAGGAACCACUUCUUGGAAUCCAAGAAUAUAGAUAUCUGCUGGUUCUUGCAUACAAAGCCACUCAUCAAUAUCUAGAUCUUCAUCUGGAAGUCUUCCUGCUACAUUCCAAGUACCAACUGUAACUCUCACUUCUUUCGUGUUAAUAUACUGAGCUCUCAAAGUUUCUGAUUUCCCUCUCCUGUG